AUUGACAUGUCUGAGAUAUCUUCCUAGACAUUAAUGGUCUGAAAGCAUUGGAACAUAUCUUGUACUGUGGAUUCUUUAUUAAAUAAUAUAAUAUUAUAUUGUGAUAUUUUGUGAGUAUAGGUGGAUGUAGUCGAAAUAGUUAUGACGUCUUGAAAGGCUAUUAUACUUGUUUGCUUUGACAAUUUAGUCGCUGUAAAGCGUCACAGCAAAAAAAUAGAAUAAUAGCCUUUCAAGACGUCAUAAUUAUUUGGACUAAGAUGGACAAAGAAAUUAAACUUGACAAAAUACAAAUUUCAAUUAGUUUGUUUUUGUGCAGAACAUGUCAAAACUACUAAAUCAAUAAUUCUUUAUAAUGCAAAUUUUUUUUUCGUCGAAGAAAAUUGACACUCA
This 390-nucleotide long non-coding RNA is filed under the name Mytilus galloprovincialis (Mediterranean mussel). The record is from RNAcentral. Lineage: Eukaryota; Metazoa; Mollusca; Bivalvia; Mytilida; Mytilidae.